Molecule: long non-coding RNA, 298 nt
Filed under: Hordeum vulgare
Lineage: Eukaryota; Viridiplantae; Streptophyta; Magnoliopsida; Poales; Poaceae
Description: long non-coding RNA (HVUL_LNC006726)
Source: RNAcentral
UCUGUAAAAAGUUUUCAUGUGAUGGAUGGGAUGUUUUUCAUGUCUGUGUCUUGGUUCUUGAGAUAGAGACUAAGCAUGAUUGAUCCGCUGGUGUGUAUGUAGUAUUAACGGUUUCUUUCUAGUCAGUGCACAGAUUGACCGACACGAAUUGAUUAAUUUCGUUCUGAGACUGCUGCUGUUGGACUAUGUAUGUAUUCAUUUUGGGGAAGUAGACAGCAAACAAAGACAUGGCCCUGAUGAUAAUAAACAAUAAAAAGAAAGAGUUUGCUCUGGCAGCAGUAUGCAUUUGUUUCUUUUU